This is a long non-coding RNA of Oreochromis niloticus (Nile tilapia), 1123 nucleotides long. RefSeq lists it as uncharacterized. The record is from RefSeq and is a predicted model, not a curated record. Lineage: Eukaryota; Metazoa; Chordata; Actinopteri; Cichliformes; Cichlidae. The transcript has 2 exons.
GGUGAAGAGGUGGGCAGAGCUGUCGUUUCUCAGGUUUGUUUCUGCACACAUGCAACUCAUUACCUUCAUCAGUACUAGGUACUUAAGGACCGGCUGUGGCAGUGUCUCCACCAGAUCGUCGCCUCCACUUUGGUGGUAAAUCGGCCAACCUCGUGUAACUGAGAUUUUUGUAAGUUUCGUAAAGUAACUCUUGUGUUUGAUCUGCUUCCCAGUUUACCUCCUGGAGUUCUUGCUUUACUGCUUUUGAAACCUCCCUGCUGCCUGUAGUGGAGUCAAAAGACCACAGUCGGACUUGUUCUUCAGCUGCAUUCAUGUUCUCUGACUUUCUUUGGAAAUAAGGAUUUACCAGCCUGCCUACCAGCUACCCCUCCCUUGGCUCACGCUUCUCGCUGGACAAAACACAACCAAAGGGGAGAUGUUUGGCCAUAAGGCACAGCACAAAAACCUCAUAUCAACUGUCAGCACAAUGAAGGAGGGCUGAUGAUUUGGUCUCGUAUCGCAGCCAUGGGACCUGGGCACCUCGCAGUCAAAGAGUCAACCAUGAACUCCUCUGCAUGCCAAAGUUCUCUAAGGUAAAAUGUGCGGCCAUCUGUAUGAAAGCUUGGCCCAAACUGGCUCAUGCAAGAGGACGAUGAUCCCAAGAACAACAGCAAAUGUACAACUCAGUGGGAGAAAAAAAUAGAAAAGAAUCACGGUUUUGCAAUGACAAAUUCAAAGUCCAGACUUCAAGAACAUAAGAGAGCACAUAGUUAAACACCUGCAAACCACAAUGAACUGAAGCAACCCUGUAAAGAAGACCGGGCAAAAAUUCAUCCACAACCACGCAAGAGACUGAAAACAUCAUACAGAAAACAAUCAACUUAUUGCUUAUAUAAAGGUGGUUCUACAAGCUAGUUAAUAACUGGCUGUACUAAACUUGCUUUUUCACACAACACUAUCAUUCUAUAUCGUCUUUCAAAUGCUCUAACUUGUUCUGAGUAGCCACCUAUCCCACUUGUUGAUCCAAGUCUUGAAAUUUAACCUAAAAGGUACUUUUGAAGUUUCCACCUGUGAAUUAUUAGAAAAUAGGUCAAACAUUCAUUGCAUCAAUGGCUGUUUGUGUUCCUCUACAUCAGAGACAAUA